UCCUCUCUUCUCCAGACCAUUUCCGGAGACCUUGUCCCUUACCUCACCUCGCUCAUCAACUCAUCCUUGACCGCUGGCUAUGUCCCUUCCGUCUUCAAACCUAUCGGCUGCCUUUGAUACCGUGAACCAUCAGAUCCUCCUCUCCACCCUCUCCGAGUUGGGCAUCUCCGGCGCGGCCCACGCUUGGAUUGCGUCCUACCUGACAGGUCGCUCCUACCAGGUGGCGAAUCGCAUCUCUGCAUGUCUGGCAGACAUAUCAGUGUGGAUGAUGGAUCACCACCUCAAGCUGAACCUCGGCAAGACGGAGCUGCUCUUCCU
This 318-nucleotide long non-coding RNA is filed under the name Salmo salar (Atlantic salmon). Its description in RNAcentral is "lncRNA (ENSSSAG00000108914.1, ENSSSAG00020051554.1)". Lineage: Eukaryota; Metazoa; Chordata; Actinopteri; Salmoniformes; Salmonidae. The record is from RNAcentral.